This 253-nucleotide ribosomal RNA is filed under the name uncultured bacterium. RNAcentral's name for it is "partial 16S ribosomal RNA". It matches the Rfam family "Bacterial small subunit ribosomal RNA", at positions 524 to 776 of the family's 1533-position model. The record is from RNAcentral.
GACAGAGGGGGCAAGCGUUGUCCGGAAUUACUGGGCGUACAGCGCACGCAGGCGGUGCUUUAAGUGUCGGGUGAAAGCCCCGCGCUCAACGCGGGGAGGCCUCGGCCGACUGGGGCACUGGAGGGUGUCAGAGGGUCGUGGAAUUGCCGGUGUAGUGGUGAAAUGCGUAGAGAUCGGCAGGAACACCAAGGGCGAAGGCAGCGACCUGGGGCAACCCUGACGCUCAGGUGCGACAGCGUGGGGAGCGAACCGG